This 107-nucleotide small nuclear RNA is filed under the name Jaculus jaculus (lesser Egyptian jerboa). Lineage: Eukaryota; Metazoa; Chordata; Mammalia; Rodentia; Dipodidae. The record is from RNAcentral.
GUGCUCACUUUGGAAGCACAUAUACUAAAAUUGGAAUGAUACAGAGAAGAUUAGCAUGGCCCCUGGGCAAGGAUGACAAGCAAAUUUGUGAAGCAUUCCAUAUUUUU